AAUACCGUCUGUGAGGGUAUGACGGCCUACUGGUUGUAAACCUCUUUUUUCAGGGAGGAAUCAAAUGACGUGUACCUGAAGAAUAAGCAUCGGCUAACUCCGUGCCAGCAGUCCGCGGUAAGUACGGAGGUAUGCAAGUGUUAUCCGGAAUCACUGGGCGUAAAGCGUCUGUAGGUGGUCCAAUAAGUCAACUGUUAAAUCUUGAGGCCCAACCUCAAAAUCGCAGUCGAAACUAUUAGACUAGAGUAUAGUAGGGGUAAAGGGAAUUUCCAGUGGAGCGGUGAAAUGCGUAGAGAUUGGAAAGAACACCGAUGGCGAAGGCACUUUACUGGGCUAUUACUAACACUCAGAGACGAAAGCUAGGGUAGCAAAUGGGAUUAGAUACCCCAGUAGUCCUAGCCGUAAACAAUGGAUACUAGAUGUUGAACAUGAUUCUGACCUGUGCAGUAUCAAAGCUAACGCGUUAAGUAUCCCGCCUGGGAAGUAUGCUCGCAAGAGUGAAACUCAAAUGAAUUGACGG
Molecule: ribosomal RNA, 520 nt
Filed under: uncultured eukaryote
Lineage: Eukaryota
Description: bacterial SSU rRNA
Rfam family: Bacterial small subunit ribosomal RNA
Source: RNAcentral